AACAAACCCUAGCCGUCUUUCCCUUCCAAUUUCGCUGAGAAAUCGCUAGCCGUAAUCCCUUCCGAAGUUGACUGAAAAUUUCGAUCGAAACUGAAACCGAUUGAUCUCAGGCGUUCUAGACUCGUAUACCUUCGAUUCUACUCAUUCGCUUCGCUUAACGACCUGUCGACUGUUCGUACUUCAGAGGCGAACCAGAGUUAGAUUGCUUGUCAGGAUCACGUGGAUUUAGCAAGCAGUGAGUUUAUAUCUCU
Long non-coding RNA from Mercurialis annua (annual mercury), 251 nucleotides. RefSeq lists it as uncharacterized. The transcript has 3 exons. NCBI's taxonomy places the organism in Eukaryota, Viridiplantae, Streptophyta, Magnoliopsida, Malpighiales, Euphorbiaceae. The record is from RefSeq and is a predicted model, not a curated record.